Molecule: ribosomal RNA, 201 nt
Filed under: uncultured bacterium
Lineage: Bacteria
Description: partial 16S ribosomal RNA
Rfam family: Bacterial small subunit ribosomal RNA
Source: RNAcentral
CGAUGGAGGGGGGUAACUACUGGAAACGGUAGCUAAUACCGCAUAACGUCGCAAGACCAAAGAGGGGGACCUUCGGGCCUCUUGCCAUCGGAUGUGCCCAGAUGGGAUUAGCUAGUAGGUGGGGUAACGGCUCACCUAGGCGACGAUCCCUAGCUGGUCUGAGAGGAUGACCAGCCACACUGGAACUGAGACACGGUCCAG